UAAGAAUACAAAUGAAUUUUAACAUUACAGAAAUCAAAACAUUAUUCUGGCAGCUCUGUACAUAUAUUUACAAAUGAUUUUCCAAGUUAGAAUUUUUGAAAAUUAUUUGUUGAGAAGGGCAGAAACCUCCAAAUUUAAUAUCUGGACAACUGGACUGACCAGUUUAAUCACAGGUAUAAUAAUAAGGAUGAGCACCCUUCAAUAUGUUUGACUGACACUGCGUUCCAGUUUAAGAUGGUGCUGAUGAAGCCCAAUGACUGCUUACUGGUGGCAACUGAACACUAUUAAUAAAACUUCUUGGAAAAUCUACAGUAAAUGAUCACUGCAAACAAAUGGCGAGCAGAGGCAAGGAUGAGUUGAAGGUUGAAACGUACGUGUGCAAGGCAGUCGAGAGAGUCAAGACAAAGUGAGGCAGAUUCGAGGCCCAUCCACCAAAACCGAAAGCGAGGUUUGACCAACCUAAGUGCCAGGCCAAUUUGAAAAGGUUGUGUACGGGCUGAAAUGUGGCAGCUGGAUCCAGGCCCAGAGUGUACCAGGAAAUGGGUCCCAGUGCAUAGAACAACCUGAUGUUUGGACAAUUUAAAUGCUGGGCCAGAUGGAUUGAAAAGGAAAGGUGUCAAGACCAGAGGCUUGGGUCAGGUCACCUGCUCUGAAUUACAUGCAAAUGGACUCCUUUGUUCCAAAUGUCAUUUGCUUACUUUUAUUGUUGGCAUGAUUUGUUUUGUUCUCUCUGCACAUAGGGUGUUUGCAUUUUUUUUAAAUAGGUUCUUUUGGGUUUCUUUUUUUGUGGCUGCCUAAAGGAGAUUAAUCUCAAGGUGUAUGAUGUAUACGUACCUCGAUAAUAAAUGUACUUUGAACUUCGAAAAAAGGGGAAAAAAAUCAGAAUUAUUGCACAUGUAUCAAAUUACUUUAUAUGGAAGUAUAUACAUUGAUUAUAUUUUGAUAAACUUAUUAGGAUUACAUGAAAUACCAAAUAAUCAACAAUAAGUCUAAAUGAGAUUCAUAAAAUCAAAAACUGUACCAUACAAUUUGAAGUUAAAUUAAUUGAAAAACAUUUCAACCACACUCAAUUUAAAACACUAACCAUUUCCUAGUACAAUUUAGGACUUAAACCUACGGUUAGCAACUCAGUACAGGUGUCCACUGUUUUUCAAACAUUCGCUUUACGACACCUUGCUGUUACGAUAGACCUACAUUAGUUACCUGUUUUCGCUAAUAGGUGUUUUCACUAUUACAAAAAAAGGCAGUGCACCCCAAGCAGCCAAGUUCCUCCCCCAGAACUACAUUCUAACUGGUAUUGCUUAAACACGUGCCUGUGAGUAUCAGUGCUUUAUGUCGAUUUAUUUUGUGCAUCCGUUAGCAAGAUGAGUUCUAAGGUAUCGGAAAAGCCUAAAAGAGCGCGUAAGGGUAUUACACAGCGUAAAACUAGACAUAAUAAAGCGUUUUGAUCGUGGUGAACAAAGUAAGGAUAUAGUGAGUUUGGCUGAGGGUUUGUGAAAGUGAUGAAGAUGAUGUUGAAGUAGUUUUGGCAUCCCAUGACCAAGAACUGACAGAUGAAGAGCUGAUGAAGAGGAAAGGAUAACAAUUGAAGCAGAUCGCAAUAGCAAACAGCCCGAAAGUGAAGUUGUUCAGGAAAUGAACGUGAAGCAAUUGCAUGAGAUUUUCACUGUGAUUGACAGCACUGCAAUGAUUGCAGAAAAGUAUGACUUUAAUUUUGAAAGGGUAUGUAGGUUUAGGGCAUACUUGCAGGAUGGUUUGAAUGCUUACCAAGAACUGUAUGAUAGAAAAAUGCGCGAGGCUAAACAGUCAAGCAUACUGUCGUUUUUUUAAGCUUUCCACAUCAGCCACAGCAGACGACAAACCUCAACCUUCGACAUCCAGGCAGACAGACAAAGGUGAUCUGCCUGCCCUGAUGGAAACAGACAACGAUGAGAUGACACCCCAGUCUCCUGUAUCUCCCACCACCCCAACCUCCGACGACUCAGCCUAACACACCAUCGUCAGUGUGCUCACUGUCUUCCCGAUUCCGGAAAACAAAUGAAAAGAACUUGGAUUAGAAAAGAACGGAAAAAAAAUCAAGCAAGCAAAGCAAAGGUGGACUCCAGAAUCAUCAGGAGGAAGAAAAAGACAUGAGAUAAAUUUCUUUGGACUAAUUGAAAGCAGAACACUGUGUAAUUCCACUCCACCUAUGAAGAAAAUUCAACUAACUCUGGGAGAUGCAACUCACCUUCUCGAUUUAGAGAAAACUGUUAAUCUCAGAACUUUUGAAAACUUCUUACAAAAAUCAACCAGUGAACCUAAAUUCAGUAUGAUUCCGUCAGCUUGUUGAAUGAUACAUCACUUUCUGUAAAGGCAUUUUUUUUAACCAAAUAACUGACUUUUACUCUUGCGCAACCUACUGACUCCUGAUUCUGCCUAACCUCUAACUCAAAUAGCAAAUCCAAUACGACUAAGACUAAUUGUUUUUAAUACGUCAAUAAAAGAGAAAUUCAACUCAUUCAGUCCAUCAUAUUUAAAAGCCCAUUAAAUCUUUAUCUAUCCAUCUAAGAUUUUUUCAGGAUCUUGCUCUCCAUCAUCUAAAUGUAGCUGUGUGAAGGUCAUAAAAAAAUUAACUAUUAUUGAUCUAUAUUCAAAUUCUUAUUCUCAAAAGAAGAGUGUUACACCAAAUACACUUUUAAAAUUUUAUCUUAUCAUGAGUCAUUGACCUUUGAUACCCUGCAUUUUAUAAUGUCCUGGUUCUUCUUCCAAUUUUGAUCUUACAACUGCUUAUAAUAGAGAGCCAACAAAAAGAGAGUAUUAAUACUGAAAGGGUCUCAGCCUGAAAUAUUGUUUGUUUACACUUUUCUAUAGAUACUGCCUGGUCUGCUAAGUUCCUCCAGCAUUUUGUGUGUGCUGCAUUAAUACUAUUAUGUUAGUUUAAAUCUCUUUCAUGUUACAAAUUUUCUCACACUUAAUACAUAAAUUUUACUUUCAUGC
Hypanus sabinus (Atlantic stingray) is the source of this 2976-nucleotide long non-coding RNA. RefSeq lists it as uncharacterized. The record is from RefSeq and is a predicted model, not a curated record. The transcript is spliced from 3 exons. Lineage: Eukaryota; Metazoa; Chordata; Chondrichthyes; Myliobatiformes; Dasyatidae.